This 216-nucleotide ribosomal RNA is filed under the name Glomeromycotina sp. Its description in RNAcentral is "partial small subunit ribosomal RNA". The stretch from base 40 to 216 matches the Rfam family "Eukaryotic small subunit ribosomal RNA", at positions 686 to 864 of the family's 1831-position model. The record is from RNAcentral. Lineage: Eukaryota; Fungi; Glomeromycota.
GGGUCAGUAGGUUGGUCGUGCCACCGGUACGUACUGGUCUCACUGAUUCCUCCUUCCUCAAGAACCGUAAUGCCAUUAAUUUGGUGUUGCGGGGAAACAGGACUGUUACUUUGAAAAAAUUAGAGUGUUUAAAGCAAGCUAACGCUUGAAUACAGUAGCAUGGAAUAAUGAAAUAGGACGAUCGAUCCUAUAUUGUUGGUUUCUAGGAUUGACGUA